GUCAGUACUCCGAGUCACCAAGCUGAAGAACUCUACAGUGCUCGAGGACUUCCUGGUCACGACUUCCUCUGUGGCGACAGGCGAGAGGCAAAAGACCUGCGGGGAAAAAUAUCCUGUGAUGGAAACUGAAACAACCCCAAGCAGUAACAACUGCCUGGACAGGAGCUCUGGUGGCCCAGACCACCCAGACCAGUUUAAGCUUAACACCUACCCUGACUCACACCUGUGCAGACGGACCCUGGCGUGGCCUACAGUUACCUUUACCUCCUCAUGAUACUAAAAUCUCCACCCAACGAGCCUCAGCCUCAUUUACAUUACAAUGUAUCUAUGGGCAUGUUUCCUUAAGGAACAGGCGUUGACCUUCUGCUCGCCUGUACAUGCGACGACAUGGCUCCCCAUCUAAAUGUUCAUCCUAAAUAAAAGAAACCUACUCACCCUC
Long non-coding RNA from Herpailurus yagouaroundi (jaguarundi), 439 nucleotides. RefSeq lists it as uncharacterized. Lineage: Eukaryota; Metazoa; Chordata; Mammalia; Carnivora; Felidae. The transcript is spliced from 2 exons. The record is from RefSeq and is a predicted model, not a curated record.